GAAGUGCCGCUCCAGAUGGGCUUGUUCUGGAAGCCAGAAGUCCAAAAUCAAGGGUGCAGCAGAGCAAAGCUUCCUCUGAAGGCUCUAGGGGAUCUUUGAAAUCUCAUGGCAUUCCAGUGCUGCUUGACACAAGGGGAAGUGUGAAAGAAGAGAUGCCAGAGUGGAAAGAGACAGAGGCCUUAAAUGAAAGUGGUUAAAAUAUCUUAUCUUCGCAAAUUUUACAAAAACCUAUGACCUUGUGAACUCUUUCCUAGGCCCUUCCCAGAGCUUUGGAAGGACUCUGUGCCUAUGAGAGACCCUUAAGCUCAAUUGGGCUUCAUUAGCAUCACAAUAAAGCUUCCUCUGUUCUGGCCUGAGGCCGAGGGGAAGAAUGUCUCCCUUGCUCUUCUGGACAAGGUCUAUCUGUAGGUGAUACUCAGAAUUGUGAAGGCAUCUUGCUCCCAGUCAGAGGAUGAAGCUAAUUUUAAGAUGAUAGAGCAGCGAUGAAGACUACG
Molecule: long non-coding RNA, 494 nt
Filed under: Equus caballus (horse)
Lineage: Eukaryota; Metazoa; Chordata; Mammalia; Perissodactyla; Equidae
Description: lncRNA (ENSECAG00000046427.1)
Source: RNAcentral